UGGGAAUAUUGACCAAUGGGGGCAACCCUGAUCCAGCCAUGCCGCGUGAGUGAUGACGCUCUCUCGGAUGUAAAACUCUUUUCUCCGGGACGAUAAUGACGGUACCGGAAGAAUAAACCCCGGCUAACUUCGUGCCAGCAGCCGCGGUAAUAUGAGGAGGGCUAGCGUUUCUCGGAAUCUCUGGGCGUAAAGGGCGCGUAGGCGGCUGAUUUAGUCGAGGGUGAAAGCCCGUGGCUCAACCUCGGAAUGGCCUUCGAUACUGAUUGGCUUGAGACCGGAAGAGGACAGCGGAACUGCGAGUGUAGAGGUGAAAUUCGUAGAUAUUCGCAAGAACACCAGUGGCGAAGGCGGCUGUCUGGUCCGGUUCUGACGCUGAGGCGCGAAAGCGUGGGGAGCAAACAGGAUUAGAUACCCUGGUAGUCCACGCUGUAAACGAUGAAUGCUAGCCGUUGGGGUGCAUGCACCUCAGUGGCGCAGCUAACGCGUAAGCAUCCG
RNAcentral lists this ribosomal RNA (495 nucleotides) under uncultured Alphaproteobacteria bacterium. RNAcentral describes it as "SSU rRNA". It matches the Rfam family "Bacterial small subunit ribosomal RNA", at positions 356 to 871 of the family's 1533-position model. The record is from RNAcentral. Lineage: Bacteria; Pseudomonadati; Pseudomonadota; Alphaproteobacteria.